GAUGAACGCUGGCGGCGUGCCUAACACAUGCAAGUCGAGCGAAGCGCUUAAAUUAGAUUUCUUCGGAAUGACGAUUUUUGUGACUGAGCGGCGGACGGGUGAGUAACGCGUGGGUAACCUGCCUCAUACAGGGGGAUAACAGUUAGAAAUGACUGCUAAUACCGCAUAAGACCCCAGCUUCGCAUGAAGCGGUGGUAAAAACUCCGGUGGUAUGAGAUGGACCCGCGUCUGAUUAGCUAGUUGGUAAGGUAACGGCUUACCAAGGCGACGAUCAGUAGCCGAGCUGAGAGGGUGACCGGCCACAUUGGGACUGAGACACGGCCCAGACUCCUACGGGAGGCAGCAGUGGGGAAUAUUGCACAAUGGGGGAAACCCUGAUGCAGCGACGCCGCGUGAAGGAUGAAGUAUUUCGGUAUGUAAACUUCUAUCAGCAGGGAAGAAAGUGACGGUACCUGACGAAGAAGCCCCGGCUAACUACGUG
RNAcentral lists this ribosomal RNA (481 nucleotides) under uncultured bacterium. Its description in RNAcentral is "partial 16S ribosomal RNA". It matches the Rfam family "Bacterial small subunit ribosomal RNA", at positions 28 to 507 of the family's 1533-position model. The record is from RNAcentral.